This 805-nucleotide ribosomal RNA is filed under the name uncultured bacterium. RNAcentral describes it as "bacterial SSU rRNA". It matches the Rfam family "Bacterial small subunit ribosomal RNA", at positions 685 to 1490 of the family's 1533-position model. The record is from RNAcentral.
AAUGCGUAGAGAUCUGGAGGAAUACCGAUGGCGAAGGCAGCCAUCUGGCCUAACACUGACGCUGAGGUACGAAAGCAUGGGGAGCAAACAGGAUUAGAUACCCUGGUAGUCCAUGCCGUAAACGAUGUCUACUAGCCGUUGGUCUCUUUGAGGGAUUAGUGGCGCAGCUAACGCGAUAAGUAGACCGCCUGGGGAGUACGGUCGCAAGACUAAAACUCAAAUGAAUUGACGGGGGCCCGCACAAGCGGUGGAGCAUGUGGUUUAAUUCGAUGCAACGCGAAGAACCUUACCUGGUCUUGACAUAGUAAGAACUUUCCAGAGAUGGUUUGGUGCCUUCGGGAACUUACAUACAGGUGCUGCAUGGCUGCCGUCAGCUCGUGUCGUGAGAUGUUGGGUUAAGUCCCGCAACGAGCGCAACCCUUUUCCUUAUUUGCCAGCACUUUGGGUGGGAACUUUAAGGAUACUGCCAGUGACAAACUGGAGGAAGGCGGGGACGACGUCAAGUCAUCAUGGCCCUUACGACCAGGGCUACACACGUGCUACAAUGGUCGGUACAAAGGGUUGCUACCUAGCGAUAGGAUGCUAAUCUCAAAAAGCCGAUCGUAGUCCGGAUUGGAGUCUGCAACUCGACUCCAUGAAGUCGGAAUCGCUAGUAAUCGCGGAUCAGAAUGCCGCGGUGAAUACGUUCCCGGGCCUUGUACACACCGCCCGUCACACCAUGGGAGUUUGUUGCACCAGAAGUGGAUAGUCUAACUGCAAAGAGGACGUUCACCACGGUGUGGCCGAUGACUGGGGUGAAGUCGUA